GUGCCUGAAGAGCAAUGGAUAGCGCGUUGGACUUCUAAUGCAAAGGUCGUGGAUUCAAUUACCACCUGGGAUG
Molecule: non-coding RNA, 73 nt
Organism: Trichonephila clavipes
Lineage: Eukaryota; Metazoa; Arthropoda; Arachnida; Araneae; Nephilidae
Source: the annotation of a GenBank genome assembly